GUUCGGCCGUGUAUUUAUUCGUUUGCUUGGAUUCCUCGUGGGAUCCUCAAGCAAAUAAAACCCACUGUCACCCGGUCUCAGUGGCCGGGGACGGGGUUUACGUUCUUAGUCCAUUUCCAGGCUGUGAUCCAGUUCCACAUUUUCCCUCCUCCUCUCCCUGAGGUCACGCACUGUGGAGGACAGCAGGAAGUGAGCUCGGAUCAGGCGCGAUGCUCGCAGGUUGGAGGGUUUCGGUGUUAACUCUCAGCUGAUCUGACCUGGAGGAAGCAGCAGCACCAUGAGCGGCACAGCGUGCGGGAGAGUCCUGCACAGGCUGCACACCGCCGGCUGGAGGCUCCGGGCUGAGCCGAGGGCCGGACCCGUCAGAGGGCUGUCGGGGUCGGGCAGGGGCACCAUGAAUGUGUUCAACAGGGAGAUGAAGAAGAGGCAGAAGAACUGGGCCGCCUCUCUGCAGGACGGCCACCAGUACGACUACCUGAGGGACGAGGUUGGAAGCCGGGUGGCUGAUCGGGUCUAUGACAUCGCGAGGACGUUUCCUCUGGCGUUGGACGUGGGCAGUGGGAAGAGUCACAUCGCGGAGCAUUUAAGCAAAGACGUUGUGGAGCGAUUGUUCCUGACAGACAUCUCUGAGAAGACGCUGAAAAAGACUCGACGGAGUGAGAUCCCGACUCACCGCGUUCUGGCUGAUGAGGAGUUUCUGCCGUUCAAAGAAAACACCUUCGACCUGGUGAUGAGCAGCCUGAGCCUGCACUGGAUAAACGACCUGCCCGGAGCCCUCAGACAGAUCCACCAGGUGCUGAAGCCGGACGGGGUGUUCAUCGGGGCGAUGGUGGGCGGGGAGACGCUCUACGAGCUGAGGUGCUCCCUCCAGCUCGCCGAGACCGAGAGGGAGGGAGGAUUCUCCCCCCACAUCUCCCCCUACACGGCCGUCACCGACCUGGGCAACCUGCUGGGCCAGGCUGGCUUCAACAUGCUGACUGUGGACAUUGAUGAAGUUCAGGUUCACUAUCCGGGAAUCAUGGAAGUCAUGACUGACCUACAAGGUAUGGGUGAGAGUAACUGUGCCUGGAACAGGAGGUUGUUGCUGCACAGAGACACCAUGUUAGCAGCAGCAGCCAUUUAUAAAGAGAUGUACGGUAACGAGGACGGGUCCAUUCCUGCCACCUUUGAGAUCCUCUACAUGAUUGGCUGGAAGCCUCACGAGUCACAGGCCAAACCAGCGGCGCGAGGCUCGGCCACCGUGUCUUUCAGGGAUCUGUCAAAGAUCAGCCAGCCGCCCACAGACAAGUCAUAGACCUCUGAUCAUCUGAGCCACAGCACAGCUCUCACACUGCACACUGUUUUUAAAGCACUGUGUUAAACAGAGCUGCUGUUCUGCUGGAAUAAAGCUGAGCUAUAAAAAGAACAUCAUGUUUCCUCUGACAGGAACUUGAAGACGUUCACAGCUAAUGAGGAACUGACUCGGAGACUCGUUUACUCAGAUGAAACUCAGGUUUGGAGGAUAAGAGUGAGACUGCAGGAAGAACUGCCACGGCUCAGGUCUCAGCUGUCGAAGACUCUGCUGUUUGACGCUGCGUUUCUCUUGUUUUGUUUUUGUGUGUGUGCGUGCGUGCGUGCGUGCGUGUGUGUGUGUGUGAGUGACAGGUGAGAGAGGCAACCAGCCAGUCACGUGUUUUAUUCCCAGCCAGCACAGUUAUUAGUCAUACUGGAAGUUCCUCCUUGAUAUAAAACAGGCAGCAUGUUUUUAUCCUGUCACACAGUGUAGAUCCACAGGCUGCAGAGAUGCUUCUUUACCUCUGCCUUCUCUUUGCUGGAUGCCUCUGUCUCAGCUUCACUGACCCUCAGAAAAUGACUGCACUGCAGAACACAGAGGUCACACUCCCCUGUCCUCAUGCAGACGGAGAUGUGUCAUGGAGCCGCUACAGAAAUGGUGAGAAGGUCACGCUGGUCACUGUCACCAACGGCCACGAGCACAGGACUGACCAACGCUACAGUUCCACAGAAAAUAAAGCUCUGGUCAUUGCUAAUGUUCAGAGCUCUGAUUCUACGUGGUACUUGUGUAAUAACAAACCAACAGUGUAUCUGAACGUGACCACAGAUCCCAGCAUGGUGCAUCCUGUCACACCAGGAACCAACAGACUGGGUCCAGGUCUUGGAACGGUUGCAGCAGGAGAUGCUGCCACAGAGAACCAGCAACCCACAGACGGGUGGAAGAUACCCGCUGGUGCAGUCAUCGGUGCUGCUCUGGUGCUUCUGGCCUUUGUAAGCCUGAGAUUCUGCUCAGAGAAGAGAGCGAAGAGAAACACCAGCAGGGACGAAACCGAGUCUGAGGUGAUUUAUGAGGUUAUUAAAGAUGACAACAUGCAGCCAAACAGGGAAUCUGGUGUGGAAAGUCCGUACUACUGGUCGAGCAUCGUGGAAACACCAAACACCUGCAAAUCACCGAAUCCUCAUCUGUACAGCUCUGUUAACAAGCUGAAAACUGAAGGACGCUGUGCUGACAGGUGUGUGUAUUCCCUCGCCCAAACACCACCACAGACAGGAAGCGCCAGUUAAUGAUCACUUCACUGUUUUUGUGAAGCAGCAAAGUUCAGGCUUUUAUUUGUCACACUUGGAGGACUGAUGGAUAAGACUCAUCUCUCCACACAGACACAGAGCAGAAGAGCAUUUUCUUCUUCGUUGUUCAUUUAUGUUUUUCAGAGGUUGAAUCAACAGGUUUCUGGUGCAGAUGCUACAGACACAAAGUCAUGACUCCACUCAGAUCUGAACACCGUAGUAAAACACGGUGUAAGACGGUUGGUUGGUUUUUCAUGGGUUAUGGUAAUGUUACUUAAGUACAAGUAUGUAAGUAUAAUCAGUGAAAUGUAAAGUAUUAAAAUGAAAGGUUUUCAGUGCAGAGCGACGUCAUACUGUUAUAUAUGAUUAGAUUAUUGUUACUUCAUGUGUAAACAGCAUUUUACUGUUGUAGUUGGUUGAGGUGGAGCUGAUUUCUGAUGAGUUUAUAUGAGACUGCAUCUAAUGACACAUUGUGACACAAUGUGAAUUAAUCUUUGGAAUAUUUUCUGGAUGAAUGGAUUGAUUGACUGAUUGAUUGAUUGAUUGAUUGAUUGGUUUGUCGGAAAAUAGUGAGAAAUGUUCGUCACAGUUACCAAGAAGCACGAGUGAGUCGCCUUCAUGUGGCUCGUUGUGUCCAACAAAACUUCAAACUGAUUCAGUUUAUGGAAUUUAACAAGACGAAAAGUCACUUUUGUUAAACAGGAACCAAGAAUAUGACACGAGUUGUUAAAACGGUUCUUUCUGUGAAUGAGUUUCAGUGUGUUAUUAUACUUUUAUACAUUAUUGUGAAACGUAAUUUUUCUUUUUCUUAUAUUUGUUCUCAUUUUGACUUUUUCCAACAUUAGCUUGCUCU
RNA transcript from Toxotes jaculatrix (banded archerfish), 3409 nucleotides. It is a transcript of the gene named NADH:ubiquinone oxidoreductase complex assembly factor 5, with no coding region annotated. Lineage: Eukaryota; Metazoa; Chordata; Actinopteri; Toxotidae. The transcript is spliced from 12 exons. The record is from RefSeq and is a predicted model, not a curated record.